Long non-coding RNA from Strongylocentrotus purpuratus (purple sea urchin), 855 nucleotides. RefSeq lists it as uncharacterized. The transcript is spliced from 2 exons. Lineage: Eukaryota; Metazoa; Echinodermata; Echinoidea; Camarodonta; Strongylocentrotidae. The record is from RefSeq and is a predicted model, not a curated record.
UCGUUGGUUACUCAUACGCUUAUGUACAGCAUCCUAUGUACCCCAUACACUUGAGUAGUAUCAUCAUGAUAUGUAGCCGGAUUGAACGCACCGGCGGCUAACUCAAACUACCAUUUCUGACAACAUUUAAAGGAAAUACCACAUCUUCACACAGUUACACCUUGUGGAUAUUUUGCACAUUGACUUCAAAUCACGGACCUCCCAACUGGGCAUUUGGAGAUACAUUUUCUCGCAGAAAAGGUGAUUUGAACACCUUGUUUAAUCGACGGGUGCUUUGAAGCGCCACUGAGGGGUUAUCCACGCCAGCGCUGUUGGCGGGCUGGUAGUCAAUAUACCGCAUCUUUACAACGUAGCUACCAGUAACUCGCGCAGACGACAGCAACAUCGAUAUCGCGCUUGGUAGAAUUUCUGAAAAUUCACCUGUGAACAACUUGAAAGUGAUUGCACGCAUGACUUGGAGUUUUUAUACCUGAGCACUUUGACCCUGGAGCUUCCAUCACGCAUCACUUUGCCGACUUUUGAGGAAAACUAUGUCUCAUCUUUCCAGGACUAAAUUUUUCUGGCCAAGUCCGAUGGCUUUGCCCAAGGCAAAAUCAGGAAUCAUAUUUUUUGUGAACGCUGUUCUUCUUCUGUGGAGCGUCACACUGGCGAAAACACUGCAGCCGAUUGCUUGGGACAAAAACAACUCAAAGUAAGUGACUUUCAAAAUUGAUUUUAUAGUAUAAAAUAGAAGAGAACUUGAGGGAAAGAGAACAAGAGAUGUAAGUUAACAACCGCAUUCUCAUGUAGAGACAAAAGUGGUUCUAAAAUAUGGGAUUAAAGAAAAUGAAAGGCAAGCAAAAAAGAAAAGAAAAA